UACCUGCAGCUCGAGUGGUAACCGCUAUUAUUGGGCCUAAAGCGUCCGUAGCCGGUUUGGUAAAUAUCUGGGUAAAUCGUGAGGCUUAACUUCACGAAUUUCGGAUAGACUGCCAGACUUGGGAUCGGGGGAGGUCAGAGGUACUCCAGGGGUAGCGGUGAAAUGUUGUAAUCCUUGGAGGACCACCGGUAGCGAAGGCGUCUGACUAGAACGAGUCCGACGGUGAGAGACGAAGCCCUGGGGCGCAAACCGGAUUAGAUACCCGGGUAGUCCAGGGUGUAAACAAUGUGGGCUUUGUAUUGGAUGUCCCACGUGGGCGUCCAGUGCAGAAGAGAAGUUGUUAAGCCCACCGCCUGGGAAGUACGGUCGCAAGGCUGAAACUUAAAGGAAUUGGCGGGGAGCACAGCAACGGGAGGAGCGUGCGGUUU
Molecule: ribosomal RNA, 428 nt
Filed under: uncultured archaeon
Lineage: Archaea
Description: bacterial SSU rRNA
Rfam family: Archaeal small subunit ribosomal RNA
Source: RNAcentral